AUUGAACGCUGGCGGCAGGCCUAACACAUGCAAGUCGAACGGUAACAGGAAACAGCUUGCUGUUUCGCUGACGAGUGGCGGACGGGUGAGUAAUGUCUGGGAAACUGCCUGAUGGAGGGGGAUAACUACUGGAAACGGUAGCUAAUACCGCAUAACGUCGCAAGACCAAAGAGGGGGACCUUCGGGCCUCUUGCCAUCGGAUGUGCCCAGAUGGGAUUAGCUAGCAGGUGGGGUAACGGCUCACCUAGGCGACGAUCCCUAGCUGGUCUGAGAGGAUGACCAGCCACACUGGAACUGAGACACGGUCCAGACUCCUACGGGAGGCAGCAGUGGGGAAUAUUGCACAAUGGGCGCAAGCCUGAUGCAGCCAUGCCGCGUGUAUGAAGAAGGCCUUCGGGUUGUAAAGUACUUUCAGCGGGGAGGAAAGGAGUAAAGUUAAUACCUUUGCUCAUUGACGUUACCCGCAGAAGAAGCACCGGCUAACUCCGUG
This 490-nucleotide ribosomal RNA is filed under the name uncultured bacterium. Its description in RNAcentral is "partial 16S ribosomal RNA". It matches the Rfam family "Bacterial small subunit ribosomal RNA", at positions 30 to 507 of the family's 1533-position model. The record is from RNAcentral.